GGAAGGGAGUUGCUGAGGGGGAAUUUAGAAGAGAUGAUGAACCAAAGCUUCACUUUCAUCUACCCACACAAGAGGAGAUGCUGUGGGUAAGGCUGGGAGACCCAAGGAACACUGGUGAAGAUCUUCAGUGGGAAAGACAGGAACUAGAUGAGAAAUGACUUGUUGGCUAUGACCUUUGCAAGAGGAUAACGUUGUAGAAAUGACCUUAACAGAUGUGAAAGUGAAGUACUGGCAUCUGAGAUUUAAUAUGGCCAUGAAAUAUUGCUUGGAAUCUGGAGAUAAACUUGCUCAAUACAGUUAGGACUGUUCUGUAACAGUUUCCAAACAAAAAUGACACUUUACUGACACAAAUAUUGUGUAGAAUGGCAUUGUUUUCAACAAACUCCCAAUGAACCACCAUGACAUUCACCUGACUUGGGAUCAUGACCCUGCUCAUUCUCUCAGACCAUCCAAACCUAAAGAUUGUUUCAAAGCUGGACAUUUGGGAUUUUCAAGGCACAUAACCCAGACACAGAUCUUCAGGACUGGGGAACCGAGGAGUUGACUAGCUCCAGAAUUCCUGCAGAAGACACCUCUCCACUUGUGAAGGCUGUGGGAUUUCCACUCCGCUUCUGUAAAUCCCGAAAGUCUGUAGAUCUCAACUUCAUUGUGACUUCCACUAUUUGUGCAUUCCCAGCUCUCCUGUUGCCCACUAAGGCCGAGUGGGAGCUGUGAUUCCUAGGCUGUUGUGCUGCUUAGAAUACUGUGAACAGUUAGCUAUAGCUUAAAAAGGCACUUUUUAAUUCCAACCUUCCUUGCUCCUUAAGUUUUUCCUUACAAAAACAUUUUGUUACCCUUUUUGUAUUUGUUCAGAAGAAUUUUUCAGAGUAAAAAUGCCAUAAUCAUAGAAUCAUAGAAUGGCCCAGGUUGGAAGGGACCUCAAGGAUCAUGAAGCUCCAACCCCUCUGCCACAGUCAGGGCCACCAAAUUCCAUAUCUAAUAUUAGACCAGGCUGCCUAUAGCCCCAUCCAACCUGGCCUUGAACAGCUCCAGGAAUGGGGCAUCCACAACCUCUCUGGGCAGCCUGUGCCAGCACCUGCAUAUUUUAGCCAAACCAUGGUUAUUGAAUGUACCAAGCGAGGUUUUGAGGGGAAUUACUGAGCACUAAAGGGUGUUUUCUUGUGUUUUGUUUUGUUGUUUUUGUGUGGUGUUUUUUUUUUUUUAAUUCUUUGCAUUUUACUUAGCUGAAGUAUUCCAGAGAACUUAAACCAAUAGUUACUGCUUGUAGAAUUUGUGGGGAGUCCUCAAAUAGACUGCAUAAAGAUCCUUGUGCUUAUCUGACUUUGAGGCCAAUCAGUAUUCAUGAAGUCAGAAGUUAAAUAUGGGUGUUUUCUUUUGCUGCUAGUAUUUAUUUCUACCAGUAGAGUAUUCAGUGUUAUAUAAAAUAUAAACUGAAUGACUGAACUGACCAUUUGAAGUAUUAUCAUACUGUCAUUCCUUUCCUCCUCCCUGUGCCUCAGAGCCAAGGAGCAUUUAAGAUCCCGUGCAAUCUGUUUAAUACUUCUAAGAUACUGGAAGAGCAUUCAUCUACUAGUAUCUCAGCUCAUUAGUCAGAAGCUAUCGGAAAAUAAGCAGCUCCUUUGGAUCUGGCACCCAGAUCCUUCACACAAGGAAACACCUUCAUUCAGCAGAAGGCCUGCACUUUGCAGAGGGCAGUUUCUGUCAAAUUGCUCCUCAGGACAGUAGGGCAGCUUCAGUGGGCACAGGUCAGUCACUUAGUUAGCUCUUGGGGAUAGGAUAUGGUUCGAUUUGAGGACCUUUCGUUCUUUCAUUAAUGGGAUUCUCAGCUUCCACUUGUUAGCAUUCAGUCAUGGAUAUCUGGGAGAUUACAGAUGUUGCCAUGCUACCUGAAAGCAAGAUUGCUACAGCAGGAGAAGAAUAUUAACACUUUGAUGUGAGAAAACAUUGAAGCAUAUCCCCCAUACAAAUGUCUGGUCAGAUAUUCUUUUGUUUAUUGUAUGGAAGAUAGGUGUCUCGUGGAUGACAGGAGACUGGAGACACUGCAUUGACAGCCUUGGCCUGAGCCAGGGCCAAAGUUUUUGCAGCCAACUAUGAAGUUGCUGACCUAAGAAAAAGGAAACAGCCCCAGACUGUAUAGCAGUGGCAUCACAGGCACUUGAAAACUCCCCACAACUAUGGUCAAAGGAAGCUCUACACAACCCACGUCUCAGUAAAAUGUUCUGAUUCAUAAACGUAUUGGCUGGUUCUCCUGCUUUGUGUUGUCUUCAUUGAGAAAACUUAGGAACCUUUCCUCAUGGACCUGACUCCCUUACUGAUCUGUAUAAAUAAAUACAAGUAUGGAUAUUUGUAAACUC
Molecule: long non-coding RNA, 2354 nt
Filed under: Gallus gallus (chicken)
Lineage: Eukaryota; Metazoa; Chordata; Aves; Galliformes; Phasianidae
Description: lncRNA (ENSGALG00010009270.1)
Source: RNAcentral